CCUACGGGGUGCAGCAGUGGGGAAUAUUGCACAAUGGGGGAAACCCUGAUGCAGCGACGCCGCGUGAGUGAAGAAGUAUUUCGGUAUGUAAAGCUCUAUCAGCAGGGAAGAAAAUGACGGUACCUGAUAAAGAAGCCCCGGCUAACUACGUGCCAGCAGCCGCGGUAAAACGUAGGGGGCAAGCGUUAAUCGGAUUUACUGGGUGGAAAGGGAGCGUAGACGGCAGCACAAGUCUGGAGUGAAAUGCCGGGGCUUAACCCCGGAACUGAUUUGGAGACUGGGCAGCUAGAGUGCAGGAGAGGGAGGUGGAAUUCCAGGUGUAGCGGUGAAAUGCGUAGAUAUUAGGAGGAACACCAGUGGCGAAGGCGGCUUACUGGACUGUAACUGACGUUGAGGCGCGAAAGCGUGGGGAGCAAACAGGAUUAGAUACCCUUGUAGUC
This 440-nucleotide ribosomal RNA is filed under the name uncultured bacterium. Its description in RNAcentral is "partial 16S ribosomal RNA". It matches the Rfam family "Bacterial small subunit ribosomal RNA", at positions 338 to 795 of the family's 1533-position model. The record is from RNAcentral.